This is a long non-coding RNA of Prosopis cineraria, 566 nucleotides long. RefSeq lists it as uncharacterized. Lineage: Eukaryota; Viridiplantae; Streptophyta; Magnoliopsida; Fabales; Fabaceae. The record is from RefSeq and is a predicted model, not a curated record. The transcript is spliced from 3 exons.
GCGAAUUCGUUUCGUCCGCCGCCUCAACAGUAACAAUAAUAAAAUAAUAAUAAAAAGAAAAGAAGAAGAAGAGAGAGAAAAUAAUUUUUAAAAAAAAAUGUGGGACCCACUGAAUUUUUAUAAAAACUCACCUUCCUUCAUUUCCUCAUUCAUUCCUGCGCGCGAGCUGAGGCGGAGAGAAGCGAGUUGCCGGUGCGAAAUAUCUAAAUUUUUAAGAUUGUAUUACUGGUGAAGAUUGUGGUGAGAGAGAAAUUUUAAGGAAUAAUUUAUUGAAAAAGCCACAAGGAGAAGAGCCACGAGUGACACGUGGAGGAGUCCCAGAGGCUUAGUGGUAUAGAUCCACUGUCUCUUUUGGGUAUUUAAUUUAUGAUUUAUAAUGUGUUAUAUUGCCAAUAUUAGGGCUUUUUGUUUAUUGUCAAUUAUAUGAAUAUAUAAAUGUAAUCAUGUCUUUCAAACUAUUUCUAUUUUUGGUACAAUUUGGAUGACUGUAAUUUUAAUAUUUGGUUUACUUUGGAUUGGUUAAAAUGGCAUGAUUAUAAGGCCAAAUAACUGGCUUGUGUUGAAAA